AUCUUCAUGAGGUGUAAUGGCGCCGGGAUGCGCUCUCCUCUUCUCAUUUGCCAAUUUAUUGCAGAUCCCUCCUCAAAAAAGUUUUGGGACUAACUCAGCCCCAUGGAGAUCAAGGUGAAUUAGAAAAACAACAAAACAAAACAAGAUUCAUUUUAACAUCUCAUUUUUCUAUCUCCAACUUUCCCUCCCCUCCUCCCACCCCAGGAAGAAAAGACUACGUUUGUUUCUGGUGAUACAUUCAUUGUAGGUGGGUGGGUGACUUCUAGAAGAGGAAAAUCAAGAAGAUUUGGAGAAGGAGUCUUGGAAGCUCUGGUGAAGUUUUCCAAAACUGGGAAGGACAGAGCCACAGGUCUGCCUGUUCUUUUGCUUUGCCAUUUGUGUGGAUACCUAGUAGAGCAAUUUGGGUGCCAUUCUUUGAGGAAUCCAUUGGAUCUGUCAGAAAGCUGAGUCUGCUCAGCCUGUGUUAGUGGAGAAGAGGGAAGGAAACUGGCUGGAGGCCGCUGGACCCACAGAGGACAAUAGACAAUCUCCUGCUAGAAAUGACAAACCAGUAUCUUGAGUAAAAUAAUGACUUGGACUGUAAGAAAUUAAUUAGAAAACAUCUGUGCAAUGUAGUGGAAGAAAAAGAAAAUGAGACCCAGAAGACCCAAAUCACAAAUCAAAAGGACCUCACAGAAGAUUCUACAAUUGAGAUUAUUUAUCCUGGCUAAGAAGGAAUCAGUGGCCUUAAGAAGACAAUCUUGAAAAAGGACCUAAGUGAUGGAUGCCCACUGGAUCCAAAGAGAGAAACUCUAUAGAAUUAUGAUCUAGGUUUGACUGACUCCUGGCAAGAAGCCCUACCCGCCAGCCAAUUUGGAUGAGCUCUUAUGCUCCAGAUCCAUCAUGAGAAGAACAUGCCCUGGAUUCCUGCUAUCCCUUUAGCCAUGGCUCCAAAAUUAACACACACAAGGAAGACCUGAGGUCAAUCCACAGCCUGGAUUCAAGUCACCUAAUACAUAGGAGAAUCAGAGCUACCCAGCCACACUCAAUCUACGUUAACUGAACCUCAGCUGACCUGCAGAUUUAUGAGUAUGAGAAUAAAGGCUUGUUAAUGUA
RNAcentral lists this long non-coding RNA (1095 nucleotides) under Homo sapiens (human). RNAcentral describes it as "long intergenic non-protein coding RNA 1980". Lineage: Eukaryota; Metazoa; Chordata; Mammalia; Primates; Hominidae. The record is from RNAcentral.